ACGGAGGGGGCUAGCGUUGUUCGGAAUUACUGGGCGUAAAGCGCACGUAGGCGGCUUUGUAAGUUAGAGGUGAAAGCCCAGGGCUCAACCCUGGAAUUGCCUUUAAGACUGCAUCGCUUGAAUCAUGGAGAGGUGAGUGGAAUUCCGAGUGUAGAGGUGAAAUUCGUAGAUAUCGGGAGGAACACCAGUGGCGAAGGCGGCGAUCUGGGAAGAUACUGACGCUGAGGUGCGAAAGCGUGGGGAGCAAACAGGA
RNAcentral lists this ribosomal RNA (253 nucleotides) under uncultured prokaryote. RNAcentral describes it as "partial 16S ribosomal RNA". It matches the Rfam family "Bacterial small subunit ribosomal RNA", at positions 525 to 777 of the family's 1533-position model. The record is from RNAcentral.